Long non-coding RNA from Acinonyx jubatus (cheetah), 1335 nucleotides. RefSeq lists it as uncharacterized. The transcript has 5 exons. Lineage: Eukaryota; Metazoa; Chordata; Mammalia; Carnivora; Felidae. The record is from RefSeq and is a predicted model, not a curated record.
GCCACGCGCGCACGUCUCCACCACAGUCACACAGCACAGGCUGUUCAGAUUUCUCAUAUAUUUAAUAUGAGAUGUAUCUAAGAAAGAUGGGGGUUCUGGUAAGGUCUGAAUAUUGGGGUGAAAUACAGAUAGUGGGAUAGUCUCUUCACACCUGGGAGAGAGAGUCCGCCGGUCCCCAGAGCUCUCACGGAGAGGAUGAAGGCGAGCCAGGAGAAUGUGGGUCUGUGGGAGUUGCCAGCUAGAGGAGAGUUCAGGUUCGUUCACUCCUGUCACAUGUUCAUUUCGCUUGUCCCCAUAGCUGUCUCCGAGUGAGGAUAAGAACCGUGAUUCAUGAGUUGCUAAAGACUGUGGAGGAAACUACUCUUAUAUAAACACCACUGAUGUGGAAUAGCUGUAGAAAACCAAUUAUUCAAAGCUGACUUUUAUUGUACUUUCAAACUGAAUCUGUUGUCAUUCCAUAUCUCUGUUCUUUUCCUUUAUUUGAAUUUCUUUUCUUUUCUUUUUUCUUUUCUUCUUCUUUGCUUCUUCCCUUCCCUUCCCUUCCCUUUCCUUUUUCUGUUUUGCCAACACACACAUCUCAGUAGCUUAACACCAUUAGAACUUAGUGACUUGCUCACAUCAAACCUGAAAUGAGUUUUUCUGAUCAGCAGGGAGCUCUUCUCUAAGCAAGGGUGGUGAGGCAGGCUCUUCCAUGCUGGGGCUCCCUCAUCAUCAAUGUGAGGCCUUCUAGGUUAUCGGCUCAUCUCCAUCAAGCAUGCAGAAAUGAAAGGAGCCCAUAGCUUUGCCCGUGGAAGGGCUGUUGGGGACCUCUCUGGAAAUGUCACUACUGCUGCUACUUCUGGUGAGAACAGAUGGCAAAAAGGAAUAUGAGUUCUCUGCUACUCACCUUUGGGUUUUUGCACUGCUUUGAGGAUUUUGAGAUACUGUGAUUCAGCUAGAGCCCCAAGAGAGGCUGGAAGUGCUGGGGGGCAGCUAGGAGCCUCUGCUAGUGGCCAGAGGGACCUGAACGAUCCGCGGGCAAGAGUAGUUUGAGAAAGAGAGAGAACACAAGCAAGCGAGGGACAGAGAGAAGGUCUGGCUAAAACAUCACCUCCUUUGUGAAACCUCCGUCAAUUCAAUUCUCCAAUUCAAAUAGACUAGUUCUGUACUGCUGGAACAGGCCCAUGGUUCCUGCUGUACUUAUGAAAUCCAAAAAGCUCCGACAAUGAAAAGCUCUUAUUCUUUGCCAAGAACCAUCUUUUUCAUAGCUGGUGCUCAAUAAACAUUGUGAGACUUGGGUGUAGACACGUGCGCAAAAUGGCAAGUCAGGAGUGAUUUUCUCAGUGUCACAUCUGG